This 138-nucleotide ribosomal RNA is filed under the name uncultured eukaryote. RNAcentral's name for it is "partial 18S ribosomal RNA". It matches the Rfam family "Eukaryotic small subunit ribosomal RNA", at positions 1299 to 1458 of the family's 1831-position model. The record is from RNAcentral.
UGGUGGAGUGAUUUGUCAGGUUAAUUCCGAUAACGAACGAGACCUUAACCUGCUAACUAGUCAGACUGGCUACGGCUGGUCUCUGACUUCUUAGAGGGACUAUCAGCGUCUAGCUGAUGGAAGUUUGAGGCAAUAACA